Long non-coding RNA from Cucurbita maxima (winter squash), 775 nucleotides. RefSeq lists it as uncharacterized. The transcript has 2 exons. The record is from RefSeq and is a predicted model, not a curated record. NCBI's taxonomy places the organism in Eukaryota, Viridiplantae, Streptophyta, Magnoliopsida, Cucurbitales, Cucurbitaceae.
AGACACUUGCAUUACAACCUUGGGUUUCACAAUUGGCUUAUAAAUGACAUUAAUGUAACAAAACGAGAACAUAAGACAACUAAUUGAUCCUAUAACAAAAACGCUUUUAAUAGCUAUGAAUAGUAUACAUGUUCAAUGGCCCCAAAAACCGACAACUUUAUAGCAUCAUCUAAACAUCAUAACCCAAUAUCUGAGUGGAUUGGAUCUAAAAAAAUAUCAUUCCCAUAUCCAAUAUCACCCAGAACGGUUAAAUUAAAAACCCACGAAGAUGGCGGUUCAUAACUAUGAUCUCACAUUUCGAUUCGAAUGAGAAUCAAAGAAGGCCAAGAACAUUCAAUCCAAGUUAUGUAGCAUACAAAAAGAAGAGAAAAAACAGAAAAAAGAGAACAAUCGAGGCAAAUGAACUUGGAAAAAGAAUAUCCCAAGAAAACAUCUCAAAAGACAGCUCUAAUAGCAUUGAAUCAUAAGAGACUUCAUGUCUAAAUUUGUGAAGCUGGUUUUUAAUGAACAGAGGCAGGGAUUGAGGCCCAGUAAUCUAAAUCUAUAAGUCAAAUGCUUUCCAGCAAGAUUGACAGCAUAAGAUAAUAGAAACCAUUAAACCCAGAAAGAAGAUAAUGUCGAUGGCACAAAUUGAUUAUGUAUGAAGAUGCAGCCUUAGAAAUGCAAAUCUGAUAAUGAAUUGUCGCAAUCAGGCAUCAGAAGCAGCGCUUUCCACAUUGAAAUGGAAUUCGCUGCAACCAGGUCAGAAUUACAAGACUAGUGAACAAAAGAAGAG